Molecule: unclassified non-coding RNA, 233 nt
Filed under: plant metagenome
Description: partial contains small subunit ribosomal RNA, internal transcribed spacer 1, and 5.8S ribosomal RNA
Source: RNAcentral
UUUCCGUAGGUGAACCUGCGGAAGGAUCAUUAUUGGAUUUUGAAACUUCAGGGUGCUGCUGGCUCUCGUGGGAGGGCAUGUGCACGCUUGUUGUCCAUUAUUUCUCCCACUGUGCACAAAUUGUAGACCUUUCAGUAGGCCUAUGUUGUUUUUCACAAUCUCUGAAUGUAAUAGAAUGGUUUUGAAUCUUGGGAAAUACAAUACAACUUUCAGCAACGGAUCUCUUGGCUCUC